RNAcentral lists this ribosomal RNA (495 nucleotides) under uncultured bacterium. RNAcentral's name for it is "partial 16S ribosomal RNA". It matches the Rfam family "Bacterial small subunit ribosomal RNA", at positions 28 to 507 of the family's 1533-position model. The record is from RNAcentral.
GACGAACGCUGGCGGCGUGCCUAAUACAUGCAAGUAGAACGCUGAAGGAGGAGCUUGCUUCUCUGGAUGAGUUGCGAACGGGUGAGUAACGCGUAGGUAACCUGCCUGGUAGCGGGGGAUAACUAUUGGAAACGAUAGCUAAUACCGCAUAAUAGUAGAUGUUGCAUGACAUUUGCUUAAAAGGUGCAAUUGCAUCACUACCAGAUGGACCUGCGUUGUAUUAGCUAGUUGGUGGGGUAACGGCUCACCAAGGCGGCGAUACAUAGCCGACCUGAGAGGGGGGUCGGCCACCCUGGGACUGGGACACGGCCCAGACUCCUACGGGGGGCAGCAGUAGGGAAUCUUCGGCAAUGGACGGAAGUCUGACCGAGAAACGCCGCGGGAGUGAAGAAGGUUGUCGGAUCGUAAAGCUCUGUUGUAAGAGAAGAACGAGUGUGAGAGUGGAAAGUUCACACUGUGACGGUAUCUUACCAGAAAGGGACGGCUAACUACGUG